Molecule: long non-coding RNA, 1408 nt
Filed under: Mytilus galloprovincialis (Mediterranean mussel)
Lineage: Eukaryota; Metazoa; Mollusca; Bivalvia; Mytilida; Mytilidae
Source: RNAcentral
GUCGAUAUGAUCCCCUGUGGUUUAAUAGUUUUGUAUCUGUAUAGGGCGUUCUAUAGGAUCCCCGGGGCGGUCUAUAGGCUCCCAUUGUUUGGUUAUCAUGUAUUCACUAGAUUUAUCUACUAGAGAGCGUUCUAUGGGAUCCCCUGUUGGGUCUAUAGGAUCACCUGUUGUGUUAUAAUCGUGUAUCUGCUAUAGGGCGUUCUAUAGGAUCCCCUGGGCGGUCUAUAGGACCCCGUAUUGUUUAAUAAUCGCAUAUUUGCUAUAGGGAAUUCUUUGGGAUUCCCGGGUCGGUCCAUAGGAUCCUCUGUUGUUUGUUCAACAUGUUUCUUCUAGAAGGUGUUCCAUAAAAUCCCAGGGUCGGUCUAUAGGAGCCCUGUAGUUUUUUCAUCAUGUAUCUAUUAGAGGGCGUUAUAUAUAUGCUCCCAUAGGCGUUCUUUAUGAUCCCUUGUGGUUUAAUAAUUGUGUAUCUACUAUAGGGCGUUCUAAAGGAUCCUCGGGGCGGUCUAUAGGAUCCCCUGUUGUUUGUUCAUAAUAUAUCUAUAACAGGUUGUUCUAUACGAUCCCCUGGGCUGUCUAUAGGAUACCCUGUUGGUUGUUCAUCAUGUAUCUAUAACAGGUUGUUCUAUACGAUCCCCUGGGCGGUCUAUAAGAUCCCCUUUUGUUUAAUAAUCGCGCAUAUUCUAUAGUGCGUUCUAUAGGAUCCCUGUGUCUGUCUAUAGGAUCCCCUAUUGUUUAAUAACCUUGCAUCUGCUAUAGGGCGUUCUAUGUUAUCCCUUUCAAAGGUCGAGGGGGCAUAUUGUUAUUGGUUGUUUUUUUUCUUUUUCUUUUCUUUUUCCCCAUAAUUUUAUUGUCCUGACAAAUUCUUGGAAAAGGAUAGACACAUUCAUCUUUAUGGAAUUAUGGCAUAAUGUAAACCAUUAUAUAAAGUUGUGCUUUUUAAUAAGGGGAUGGUCCAAGAUGGUCUCGAUUACUAUAAACACUGGUCAACAGUAUUUUUUUUAUGUUUUUUGUAUAUAUUUCUAGUAUUCCUGAGCAUAGAACCAUGAUAUUCAAUAUACAAAGUAGGUGUCAACAAUUUGUAUGAUCCUCAGAACUACAUGUACCUAGCAGUAGGUAGUUGUGUUUUUUUAGUAUAAAUUUUAUUUCAAAAUUGCUGACGGUAACCUAGCAAUGGCAAGGUCGUCUGGCAACUUGACAACAGUAUGACAUCCGCCUUUGCUCGCAAUGGCAAUUCUAUUUGUUUUCGUAUUCUUAUGGAUUUGUACAGACAGGAGAAAAGAAAUUGACCCGUCUUUUAAUAUCCCUUUCCGAUAUAUUGAUGAUGUACUGUCUAUUAAUGAUAAUAGAUUCAAUGAGUAUAUAUAUGGCAAGCCGUUUUACUAUUUAUUCUAACUUCAAGAUAGCUCAU